GAUGAACGCUGGCGGCGUGCCUAAUACAUGCAAGUCGAGCGAACAGACGAGGAGCUUGCUCCUCUGACGUUAGCGGCGGACGGGUGAGUAACACGUGGAUAACCUACCUAUAAGACUGGGAUAACUUCGGGAAACCGGAGCUAAUACCGGAUAAUAUAUUGAACCGCAUGGUUCAAUAGUGAAAGACGGUUUUGCUGUCACUUAUAGAUGGAUCCGCGCCGCAUUAGCUAGUUGGUAAGGUAACGGCUUACCAAGGCAACGAUGCGUAGCCGACAUGAGAGGGUGAUCGGCCACACUGGAACUGAGACACGGUCCAGACUCCUACGGGAGGCAGCAGUAGGGAAUCUUCCGCAAUGGGCGAAAGCUUGACGGAGCAACGCCGCGUGGGUGAUGAAGGUCUUCGGAUCGUAAAACUCUGUUAUUAGGGAAGAACAAAUGUGUAAGUAACUAUGCACGUCUUGACGGUACCUAAUCAGAAAGCCACGGCUAACUACGUG
This 497-nucleotide ribosomal RNA is filed under the name uncultured bacterium. RNAcentral describes it as "partial 16S ribosomal RNA". It matches the Rfam family "Bacterial small subunit ribosomal RNA", at positions 28 to 507 of the family's 1533-position model. The record is from RNAcentral.